This 26-nucleotide non-coding RNA is filed under the name Rattus norvegicus (Norway rat). The record is from RNAcentral. Lineage: Eukaryota; Metazoa; Chordata; Mammalia; Rodentia; Muridae.
UUGAGGAAAGAGUAUAAAAUUCAGUU